This 253-nucleotide ribosomal RNA is filed under the name uncultured bacterium. RNAcentral describes it as "partial 16S ribosomal RNA". It matches the Rfam family "Bacterial small subunit ribosomal RNA", at positions 524 to 776 of the family's 1533-position model. The record is from RNAcentral.
UACGUAGGCAGCAAGCGUUGUUCGGAGUUACUGGGCGUAAAGGGUGUGUAGGCGGUUGUUUAAGUUUGAUGUGAAAUCCCGGGGCUCAACCCUGGAAUUGCAUUGAAUACUACCUUGCUAGAGUACCGGAGAGGAAACUGGAAUUUACGGUGUAGCAGUGAAAUGCGUAGAGAUCGUAAGGAAGACCAGUGGCGAAGGCGAGUUUCUGGACGGUAACUGACGCUGAGGCACGAAGGCCAGGGGAGCAAACGGG